This 799-nucleotide long non-coding RNA is filed under the name Cricetulus griseus (Chinese hamster). RNAcentral's name for it is "lncRNA (ENSCGRG00015037987.1)". The record is from RNAcentral. Lineage: Eukaryota; Metazoa; Chordata; Mammalia; Rodentia; Cricetidae.
UAAAAAUUAGAAAUGAUCUUAUUUUACAUCUCAAUUCCAGAUCACUCUCCCUCCUAUCCUCCCAGGCCCCCUGUGGAGCCCCCUCAUCACAUUCCCCAUCUACUGCCCAGGGAGGGUGAGGCCUUCGAUGAGGGAUCAUCAAAAUCUAUCAAGUCAUUUGGGGCAGGACCUUAGUGGUCCCCUGUUUACCAGGCUAAGAGAGUAUUGCUCCAUGGGAAAUGGGCUCCCAAAUCCAUUCGUGCAAUAGGGAUACAUCCUGGUUUCACUGCCAAAGGCCCCAUAGACUGCCCAGUGCUCCUAGCUGACACCCUGUUCAGGGGGCCUGGUUUGGUCCUAUGUUGUUUCCCCAGACUGGGGUGCAUGGGUUCCUACUUUCUCAGGUCAGCUGUUUCUGCAGGUUUUCCCAGCAUGAUCUAGACCCUUUAGUUGAUCACUCCUCCCUCUCUGAAACUGGAUUCCAGGACUUGGGCUCUGUGCUUACCUGUGGAUCUCUGCUUCUCCUUCCAUCAGCUAAUGGAUGAAGGUUCUAGCAUGGCAUUCAGGGCAGUCAUCAUUCUCAUGAUAGGGAAAGGGCAUUAAAGUUAUCCUCUCCCCUAUUGAUUAGGUUCCUUGUUGGGGUCAUUCUUGCGGAUCUCUGUACAAUUCCCUAGUGCCAGAUUUCUCUGUAAACCUACAGUGGCUCCUCUACUGAUGGUCUCUCUCCUUGCUCUGCUCUAUUCCUCUCCCCACACAAUCUUCCUCAUCCCUCAUGUUCUCAUCCCUCUCCUCCCCUCUCCUAAUUCAUUACCCUACCUCCAUA